This 2538-nucleotide long non-coding RNA is filed under the name Capra hircus (goat). RNAcentral's name for it is "lncRNA (ENSCHIG00010027724.1)". The record is from RNAcentral. Lineage: Eukaryota; Metazoa; Chordata; Mammalia; Artiodactyla; Bovidae.
AUGGGCAGCUGGCACCAGACACAGGCCUGGUCCUGCCUCGGACUCUGGGCUGGAGGCCGGGGGGCCCGCUGCAGCCUUCGCAGCUGUGUCCACAGCACAAGGGACAACCACUGCCUUGGCAGAGGUCCACUGUGCCUGGGCCCUCGGGAGUCCUGCUGGGCAGGCCGCAGACGCAGUUCUGGGGGGUGUUUGCCGUCCUCAUCUGCAGCAGGGACCCCGGGGCAGGCCAGGGCCAUCGGUUCAGGGGUGUCCUCCAGCAGUGAGGGGCUCUCCACGCUGGGCACCAGUGCCUGGGGUGCGUCAUCCAAGCCUCGCCGCGCUGGGCAGGAGUCCUACUGUGUGUCUGUCCUCACCCCCCAGCACCUGGGGAAGCCCCCGAGGGCCAUGGGUGCGUCCCCGCGCAGCACAGGGCUGGGGCGGGCUCCCCGCAAACCCGGGAGACGGCAUGGGCGCAGCUGGGCUCUCCCAGGGUCCUGCUGUUCCCACCCCUGCCCUCGGUCACGUGCCCCCAAUUCCUCGGGGGCCACACGGGGUGCUUUCCACAUCUGUCACCCAGACCCUGGGCUGCAGAUUCGGUUCCUCUUCCCCAGCCAUGGGCUCAGCAGAGCUCCUGUGGCCUGUGGGGGUCUGGUCCCAUCCGCCCCUGAGUCCUCCUGAACUGGCAUCAGUGGAGGGACCCAGGGAGCCGCCCGACCAGCCUCGGACCCACACACGGGGCUGUGUCCACAGGCAGGGGGGACUGCAGGGCUGGAGUGCUGGGCUGGAGCCGGAGGCUGCCUGUGGUUCCCUGCUUCUGAUGCCGGCUGGCCAGCGGCCUCAGUUUCGCUUCAGCAGGGGGAAUGGGGUCCACCCCCGGGGAGGCUGUGUGGCUUCCCAGAAACAUGCUUACAACAGACAGCCUGAGCCUCUCAGAGCCACAGACACCUGGCCAGAGCCUGACCCAGUGCCCCCGGUCAGAGCCAAGACGGCUGCCCGCCCGCCCUCCCUCCACGUCCCUGAUGCCGAGCAGCACAGUGCUGGGGACAGAACCAGGAGCCCCGAAAGGCCCCAAGAUGGGGCCCAGCGGUGCAGACCCUAACCCUGACCCACACAACACCAGGCCCCUCAGCAGGCGCAGAUCUGGGCAGAGGCAGCCGCCCUCCCAGCACCGUGACCCUGGCCAAGAGGCACCCAGCCAGAGUCGGUUUCACCCAGCAGGGCUUUCUCGGCUCCCCCACAAUGCAUGGGCCCUGCACGCCCAAAGCCCAGCACACAGACGCUGUCCACACAGGGGGCACUCNNNNNNNNNNNNNNNNNNNNNNNNNNNNNNNNNNNNNNNNNNNNNNNNNNNNNNNNNNNNNNNNNNNNNNNNNNNNNNNNNNNNNNNNNNNNNNNNNNNCAGGGGGCACUCAGCUUCCACACCGCCCCUUGGCGCUGUUCCUUUGGGGGUGUUUCUGGCACUUGCAGCCUCAGAAUCCUGACCUGAGAGGUGCGUGGCAUGCUGGGCAAGCUAAGAACCCAGGACCAAGGAUGUGGUCCCCAGGCUCGAUGUUUAAAAGCAGGUGACGACUUCUAGUCUCAGGCGGCACCCUCCCCGGGUUUACGGCAGGGACAGACUCCAGCUGCAGGGACUUCUUCCCUGUCUCCACACACUUUCCUAGUCUCCAAAUAUUCCACGAAGGUGUCUCGCUUUCCUACACUAGAAGAAAGGCGAGAGACGCAUAACCAAAGCAAAUCCCCUUCUGAGCGUGGGGACGACGCAGAGGGCCAGUGCAACUGCGGGCACACGCAGACCCGCCUGAGUCAGGAACGAGGCCAAGGGGCUGCGGUCUGCGAGAGGAGAUCACCAGCCCCAGUGCGGCCCCCAAGUGGCCCUCAGGCUGGGCUCACCGUCCCACCACCACCCCGGGCACAGAGAACUCCCAGCUCAGGGGCAGCACCUUCAGACCGGUGGGACUCCCUUGUUCUGGGCUGAGGCCCAGGCUUCUCUCUGCUUCGGGGCCUUUGCAUGUGCCUAGGACACUCCUCCCCAAGGUCUCAGCCACCUCAGGCUUAUCUUCAGGGUCUCAAUAGGAACAUCCAGGCACUCAGGGCUUUAAUAGGUAAACGGGCCCCACACACCAGGCUGCCCUGGUAGGUGAGCUGGUGUGCCCACUGCAUACUACACUCCAGGUGAGUCCUCACCCUCUGGGCAUUCCAGGAGAGGGAGCGCCUCCUACAGGAAGCCUUCCCUGACUGCCGGGCUUCUGCGGGCCUAGCCCACCUGAUAAGAGCGCCACCACACCAGGCUGCACGGUUCUCCAGCUCACAGGUUCGAGCCUCUCCUGAACUAGCAGAGGCAGUGAGCAAGAAUGAGAGGGACAGAGGGCAGAGAGUGGGUUUGAACUCUACCUCAGGACACAGCGGGUAUGGGAGGCUUGGGAGGGAGGGGUUGGGAAGGGCUGGUAGGAGUUAAGGGGGCAGUUCCCCCCAAGUGGAACCCAGAAAGAAAGAAAGAAGAAAGUGAAGUCACUCAGUUGUGUCCGACUCUGCAACCCCAUGGACUGUAGCCUACCAGGC